AAUCAACGCUGGCGGCGUGCCUCAGACAUGCAAGUCGAACGCGAAAGUCCCCUUCGGGGGGCGAGUAGAGUGGCGCACGGGUGAGUAACACGUAGGUAAUCUACCUUUGGAUGGGGAAUAACAACCGGAAACGGUUGCUAAUACCGCAUAAUGCAGCGGCACCUAAUGGUGACAGUUGUUAAAGCGGGGGGAUCGAAAGACCUCGCGUCUGAAGAGGAGCCUGCGGCGGAUUAGCUAGUUGGAAGGUAACGGCUUACCAAGGCUACGAUCCGUAGCCGGCCUGAGAGGGCGGUCGGCCACACUGACACUGACAUACGGGUCAGACUCCUACGGGAGGCAGCAGUCGGGAAUUUUGGGCAAUGGGCGAAAGCCUGACCCAGCAACGCCGCGUGAAGGAUGAAAUCCCUCGGGAUGUAAACUUCG
RNAcentral lists this ribosomal RNA (423 nucleotides) under uncultured bacterium. RNAcentral describes it as "bacterial SSU rRNA". It matches the Rfam family "Bacterial small subunit ribosomal RNA", at positions 32 to 434 of the family's 1533-position model. The record is from RNAcentral.